RNAcentral lists this ribosomal RNA (901 nucleotides) under uncultured bacterium. Its description in RNAcentral is "bacterial SSU rRNA". It matches the Rfam family "Bacterial small subunit ribosomal RNA", at positions 17 to 916 of the family's 1533-position model. The record is from RNAcentral.
UCAUGGCUCAGAACGAAACGUUGGCCGGCCUGGAUUAGGCAUCGCAAGUUGAGCGUACCCAGCAAUGGGGAGCAGGCGUAAGGGGCCAGUAAGGUAUGGGUAUUCUACCCGGGGAUUCGGGGCAUAAGCCUGUAGAGAUACCAGGGUAAUUUCCCGAUGAUGUCGCAAGACCAAAAGCUCCGGGCGUCCCCUGGAGGGAGCCCAUAUGAUAUUACGGUAGGUGGUGGGGUAACGGCCCCACCAUGCCUAAGAUGUCUAGCGGGUGUGAGAGCACGACCCGCGCCACUGGCACUGAGACACUGGCCAGACACCUACGGGUGGCUGCAGUCGAGGAUCUUCGGCAAUGGGCGAAAGCCUGACCGAGCGACGCCGCGUGCGGGAUGAAGGUCUUCGGAUUGUAAACCGCUGUCAGAGGGGAUGAAGUUAUGGUGGGUUCUCCCUCCAUAUUGACAGAGCCUCAGAGGAAGCACGGGCUAAGUAUGUGCCAGCAGCCGCGGUAAUACAUACUGUGCGAACGUUAUUCGGAUUCACUGGGCUAAAGGGUGCGUAGGUGGCCUUGUUAAGUAGGGUGUGAAAGCCCCCAGCUCAACUGGGGAACUGCAUUCUAUACUGGCGAGCUAGAGUGAGAUAGGGGUGUGUGGAACUGCCAGUGGAGCGGUGAAAUGUGUUUGAUAUUGGCAGGAACGCCGGUGGCGAAAGCGACACACUGGGUUCUCAACUGACACUGAGGCCACGAAAGCCAGGGGAGCGAACGGGAAUUAGAUACCCCGGUAGUCCUGGGCCGUAAACGCCUGAGUACUCGUCGGGAGCGGCUUCCGGUUGCUCCAGACUUAGAGAAAUCGUUUAAGUACUCCCCUGGGGAGUAUGGUCGCAAGGCUUGAAACUCAAAAUUAAUUGAAGG